UACGGAGGGGGUUAGCGUUGUUCGGAAUUACUGGGCGUAAAGCGUACGUAGGCGGAUCAGAAAGUUGGGGGUGAAAUCCCGGGGCUCAACCCCGGAACUGCCUCCAAAACUCCUGGUCUUGAGUUCGAGAGAGGUGAGUGGAAUUCCGAGUGUAGAGGUGAAAUUCGUAGAUAUUCGGAGGAACACCAGUGGCGAAGGCGGCUCACUGGCUCGAUACGACGCGUGAGGUACGAAAGUGUGGGGAGCAAACAGGAUUAUACCCGGUAGUC
RNAcentral lists this ribosomal RNA (269 nucleotides) under uncultured bacterium. Its description in RNAcentral is "partial 16S ribosomal RNA". It matches the Rfam family "Bacterial small subunit ribosomal RNA", at positions 524 to 795 of the family's 1533-position model. The record is from RNAcentral.